AGUGAACGCUGGCGGUAGGCCUAACACAUGCAAGUCGAACUGCAGCACAGUAAGAGCUUGCUCUUACGGGUGGCGAGUGGCGGACGGGUGAGGAAUACAUCGGAAUCUACUUUUUCGUGGGGGAUAACGUAGGGAAACUUACGCUAAUACCGCAUACGACCUACGGGUGAAAGCAGGGGAUCUUCGGACCUUGCGCGAUUGAAUGAGCCGAUGUCGGAUUAGCUAGUUGGCGGGGUAAAGGCCCACCAAGGCGACGAUCCGUAGCUGGUCUGAGAGGAUGAUCAGCCACACUGGAACUGAGACACGGUCCAGACUCCUACGGGAGGCAGCAGUGUGGAAUAUUGGACAAUGGUCGCAAGCCUGAUCCAGCCAUACCGCGUGGGUGAAGAAGGCCUUCGGGUUGUAAAGCCCUUUUGUUGGGAAAGAAAAGCAGCAGGUUAAUACCCCGCUGUUCUGACGGUACCCAAAGAAUAAGCACCGGCUAACUUCGUG
Molecule: ribosomal RNA, 492 nt
Filed under: uncultured bacterium
Lineage: Bacteria
Description: partial 16S ribosomal RNA
Rfam family: Bacterial small subunit ribosomal RNA
Source: RNAcentral